RNAcentral lists this non-coding RNA (24 nucleotides) under Arabidopsis thaliana (thale cress). The record is from RNAcentral. Lineage: Eukaryota; Viridiplantae; Streptophyta; Magnoliopsida; Brassicales; Brassicaceae.
UGACCUUGUUGUUGUUGUGGAGGA